RNAcentral lists this long non-coding RNA (591 nucleotides) under Homo sapiens (human). RNAcentral's name for it is "non-protein coding lnc-E2F7-5:1". Lineage: Eukaryota; Metazoa; Chordata; Mammalia; Primates; Hominidae. The record is from RNAcentral.
AUGGCGGCCGCCAAGGACACUCGUGAGGACCAUGAUACUUCCACUGAGAAUACAGACGAGUACAACCAUGACUCUCAGUUUGUCUUCCUGAGCAAGAAAUUAAAACGCUGAAAGAUGAUGAAGAGGAACUUUUUAAAAUGCAGGCAAAACUGUUCUGAUUUGCCUCAGAGAACGAUCUCCCAGAAUGGAAGGAGCGAGGCACUGGUGACGUCAAGCUCCUGAAGCACAAGGAGAAAGGGGCCAUCCGCCUCCUCAUGCAGAGGGACAAGACCCUGAAUAUCUGUGCCAACCACUACAUCAUGCGGAUGAUGGAGCUGAAGCCCAAGCAGGUAGUGACCGUGCCUGGGUCUGGAACACCCAUGCUGACUUCGCCGACCAGUACCCAAGCCGGAGCUGCUGGCCAUCUGCUUCCUGAAUGCUGAGAAUGCACAGAAAUUCAAAACAAAGUUUGAAGAAUGCAGAAAAGAGAUCGAAGAGAGAGAAAAGAAAGCAGGAUCAGGCAAAAACGAUCAUGCCAAAAAAGUGGCAAAAAAGCUAGAAGCUCUCUCGGUGAAGGAGGAGACCAAGGAGGAUGCUGAGGAGAAGCAAUAA